RNAcentral lists this ribosomal RNA (1492 nucleotides) under Lacticaseibacillus paracasei. Its description in RNAcentral is "bacterial SSU rRNA". It matches the Rfam family "Bacterial small subunit ribosomal RNA". The record is from RNAcentral. Lineage: Bacteria; Bacillati; Bacillota; Bacilli; Lactobacillales; Lactobacillaceae.
GAUGAACGCUGGCGGCGUGCCUAAUACAUGCAAGUCGAACGAGUUCUCGUUGAUGAUCGGUGCUUGCACCGAGAUUCAACAUGGAACGAGUGGCGGACGGGUGAGUAACACGUGGGUAACCUGCCCUUAAGUGGGGGAUAACAUUUGGAAACAGAUGCUAAUACCGCAUAGAUCCAAGAACCGCAUGGUUCUUGGCUGAAAGAUGGCGUAAGCUAUCGCUUUUGGAUGGACCCGCGGCGUAUUAGCUAGUUGGUGAGGUAAUGGCUCACCAAGGCGAUGAUACGUAGCCGAACUGAGAGGUUGAUCGGCCACAUUGGGACUGAGACACGGCCCAAACUCCUACGGGAGGCAGCAGUAGGGAAUCUUCCACAAUGGACGCAAGUCUGAUGGAGCAACGCCGCGUGAGUGAAGAAGGCUUUCGGGUCGUAAAACUCUGUUGUUAGAGAAGAAUGGUCGGCAGAGUAACUGUUGUCGGCGUGACGGUAUCCAACCAGAAAGCCACGGCUAACUACGUGCCAGCAGCCGCGGUAAUACGUAGGUGGCAAGCGUUAUCCGGAUUUAUUGGGCGUAAAGCGAGCGCAGGCGGUUUUUUAAGUCUGAUGUGAAAGCCCUCGGCUUAACCGAGGAAGCGCAUCGGAAACUGGGAAACUUGAGUGCAGAAGAGGACAGUGGAACUCCAUGUGUAGCGGUGAAAUGCGUAGAUAUAUGGAAGAACACCAGUGGCGAAGGCGGCUGUCUGGUCUGUAACUGACGCUGAGGCUCGAAAGCAUGGGUAGCGAACAGGAUUAGAUACCCUGGUAGUCCAUGCCGUAAACGAUGAAUGCUAGGUGUUGGAGGGUUUCCGCCCUUCAGUGCCGCAGCUAACGCAUUAAGCAUUCCGCCUGGGGAGUACGACCGCAAGGUUGAAACUCAAAGGAAUUGACGGGGGCCCGCACAAGCGGUGGAGCAUGUGGUUUAAUUCGAAGCAACGCGAAGAACCUUACCAGGUCUUGACAUCUUUUGAUCACCUGAGAGAUCAGGUUUCCCCUUCGGGGGCAAAAUGACAGGUGGUGCAUGGUUGUCGUCAGCUCGUGUCGUGAGAUGUUGGGUUAAGUCCCGCAACGAGCGCAACCCUUAUGACUAGUUGCCAGCAUUUAGUUGGGCACUCUAGUAAGACUGCCGGUGACAAACCGGAGGAAGGUGGGGAUGACGUCAAAUCAUCAUGCCCCUUAUGACCUGGGCUACACACGUGCUACAAUGGAUGGUACAACGAGUUGCGAGACCGCGAGGUCAAGCUAAUCUCUUAAAGCCAUUCUCAGUUCGGACUGUAGGCUGCAACUCGCCUACACGAAGUCGGAAUCGCUAGUAAUCGCGGAUCAGCACGCCGCGGUGAAUACGUUCCCGGGCCUUGUACACACCGCCCGUCACACCAUGAGAGUUUGUAACACCCGAAGCCGGUGGCGUAACCCUUUUAGGGAGCGAGCCGUCUAAGGUGGGACAAAUGAUUAGGGUG